This is a long non-coding RNA of Sapajus apella (tufted capuchin), 853 nucleotides long. RefSeq lists it as uncharacterized. NCBI's taxonomy places the organism in Eukaryota, Metazoa, Chordata, Mammalia, Primates, Cebidae. The transcript is spliced from 2 exons. The record is from RefSeq and is a predicted model, not a curated record.
GAAUUUUAUAGAGCUACCUUCCCUGUAUAAUUAGGAUUUGGCACAAAGAGCUUCAAGUGAGAUUUGGAAGGUACAAGGGGAGCAGCAGUCAUUACGGAAGAUUAGUACAAGCCUCCAUGCAUGGCCAGCGCUUGGCACAUUUGCUGCUGAUUCACGGGCUUCUCUCACUGGUGCGCAUAAACCCACAGCUCCUCUGCCUGCUGCCAGAUCUUUUCCUUCAGCGUUUCCAAGUCUUGAGUCACACACAUGUGCAACUCUAGGGUGAACGACUCCUGCUUCUUCUGCAGAUUCCCAGUAUCAUUUGUGUUCAAAGCAUAUUCUGAUUUGUCCUUGUGAAUAUCAGUUUAUUCUCAAGGAUUUUAGGUUGUCCUUUUUUUUUUUUUCUAGUUCAUUUAGACCUUUUCUUCCUGACUGCUUAUCUACUGAUCUGAGCAAUUUCUAGUUCACCACCAGGUAGAGGCAACUCCUUGCGUAGAUUUCUUCACCAGUUUUCCUUAAUGGCCUGGUUGGAAUAUUUGAAAUUGUCUGGUUCUUUGGCACCCAAAUAUGAAGGUCACUUCAUUAAGGGCCAAAAUUUUCAUGGAGAGCAUUUGAGAAAGGAGAGCUCAAUAAAAUAUCAAAAAAAUACAAACAAGAACUACAGUAAAAGAAAUAUUGCUACUUAUAUAUGCAAAUGAAGAUUGAAGAUAACUAUUAUCAACUUUCUACUCUUAAGAAUUAUUUAAGUUUCUACUGCUAUUUCUGCAUUUGGACAUUGGUUUACCAUGCCACUUUUUUAUGUAUUAAAAAAUUGUUAAAAAUUAAAAUGAUAUUAUACUUGUGUUCAGGCCAAAUAUAUAUUCCCAAAGUGUUC